AUGCAUUCACAUAUAGACAGCUUAUUUGCAUUGUUCAAAAAACUUUGUAGUCUCAAUGAUGAUGCAUACAUGUCAACGAUGGGUGUUGGCUCCAACAAUUCACAUUGGUCUCAAACCAAUGACAUGCAUUUCAAAAACCAUGAGUUUGAGGUGGACGAGGAGGGUGAGAGCGUUGUCGACGCACCGAAAGGAAGAGCGGGCAAUUACAGCAACGCCGAUGACAUCUUACUAUGCAAUACUUGGUUGCAAGUGUCGAGGGAUCCAUCCGUUGGAGGUGAUCAAAGUAGAGAUGCUUAUUGGCUUCGGAUGAAGGAACACUUUGAUGUUCGCAACGUGAGUGGAAUUGACCGCUCCGACCGAUCACUUAGGUCCCGGUAUGGCCACCAUGGGAGGUAUGAGUUUUGCUUCUCUCAUGGGAGGCAUGGAUGCACCUCCGGCCGCCAUGGGCGGAAUGUCUUUCGAUGUGCCUCCUCGCACACAUUCCCAUGA
This 489-nucleotide ribosomal RNA is filed under the name Triticum aestivum (bread wheat). RNAcentral's name for it is "partial small subunit ribosomal RNA". Lineage: Eukaryota; Viridiplantae; Streptophyta; Magnoliopsida; Poales; Poaceae. The record is from RNAcentral.